UAAGCCUUAUAAAUAGUGGUGGAAAAAUGGUUCAGCAUCUAUUAGCAGAAAUUUUCUUAAAAUGAAUCAGUCAGCAGUAUUAGUUUGCGCGUUGGCAGUUUUGCUGGCUCUUUUCAGUGCCGCUUUUGGACUGGACCCCUGUGAGAGCACACAAAGUCGCAAUUAUGUGGAAAGGAAAGGCUAGCAAUAUGUUACGAAUAUUUUAUUCCGUUUAAACCGAUGCAAAUAUUUUUUAAGUUCUUGUCCCAAGACUCUCCGCAAAUAAAUGAAAAAAAUAAAUAAAUAAAUAAAAUAUGUUAAAAUACAAGCCAUGAUUUCAACAUUUCGUUGAAAUUAGUAUUGGACAAUUCUUGGAAAUUGGAAUCGGAAAAAUACAUAAAAAUUUGUUGACUUCA
Molecule: long non-coding RNA, 395 nt
Organism: Culex pipiens pallens (northern house mosquito)
Lineage: Eukaryota; Metazoa; Arthropoda; Insecta; Diptera; Culicidae
Exons: 3
Source: RefSeq, a predicted model, not a curated record